GCAAGGAUGGACAAUGACUUAUCCCAUCAAAUGAGCCGAAAGACAAACUAAUUCCAACACAACGCUGUUUCUAUUAGCCAACCACAAGCAAUACAGCAUGAUGUAAGUGAAUUCCCGAUACAGUAUGUGAGCUUUUCAGGUAAAUAUCACGAACUGGGAGUAGCAGUGCUAAUCUUGCAGAAACCAUGCUGCUGUCCUUCAUACUCGACAAGAGCAACU
RNAcentral lists this unclassified non-coding RNA (219 nucleotides) under Hevea brasiliensis (rubber tree). Lineage: Eukaryota; Viridiplantae; Streptophyta; Magnoliopsida; Malpighiales; Euphorbiaceae. The record is from RNAcentral.